UACGUAGGGUGCAAGCGUUGUCCGGAAUUAUUGGGCGUAAAGAGCUCGUAGGCGGUUUGUCGCGUCUGCUGUGAAAACUCGGGGCUCAACUCCGAGCUUGCAGUGGGUACGGGCAGACUAGAGUGCGGUAGGGGAGACUGGAAUUCCUGGUGUAGCGGUGGAAUGCGCAGAUAUCAGGAGGAGCACCGGUGGCGAAGGCGGGUCUCUGGGCCGUAACUGACGCUGAGGAGCGAAAGCAUGGGGAGCGAACAGG
This 253-nucleotide ribosomal RNA is filed under the name uncultured bacterium. RNAcentral's name for it is "partial 16S ribosomal RNA". It matches the Rfam family "Bacterial small subunit ribosomal RNA", at positions 524 to 776 of the family's 1533-position model. The record is from RNAcentral.